CAAGCAAGCCAGGAAGGAGGCAGGAUGGAAGAGUUCUCUGCAGCAGCAGACCCUCUGUCCAGAACAUCCAGCACAGCUUUUGCCAGGCUUAUUGACUCGACAUUGCAGCAAUCAUUGCCUGUCAGGACAUUCGUGUUUUGUUGGGAUACAUCCCCAGCAAAUGGGAUCUAGCAUUACAUCAAGAAUGGUGGAUUCUUCAUGCUGGAGAGAGUGGACAAAAGGAUUAUAAUACAGCACUGAAAAGACAAAUUAACUCCUGAAUUGCAACUUUGGAUAACUGAUAUGUGUUCCUGGUCAGUAUUUGAACGGGGUUGUUGUACCCCGCCCGACCGACUGAAAGGGAAAAAGCCAAAACCUAACCUGUACUGGACAGAGAACCGAUUCCCAGUGUAGCUAAUCCUGCUUCAUCAGAUGCAUGAAGUAAACAGGUUCUGUAUUGAAGUGCCGUCAGCUGACACCCUAAAUGGAGCCCUGAGAAUGGUGUAUUGCACCAAAACAUUGGCUCGGGUUUGUUUUCGCUUACAAGUUUUGUGGGAAAAUUGGGAAGUUAUUUUAAUAUCUUUUAUGCAUUAAAGAGGUCAUUUGAAGUUGGCCUUUGGAGCAGUGCAAUGCGUAUUUCAUCACUGGUAUACUGUAUUUUAGGAAAAGUCUAAUUAAAAGUUGUUGUUGCUUUCCCCUCAUUUAAAAAUGACUGGGUAAAAAGUUACACUUCCUGCUAUUAUGAGUCCCGCCGACGUGACUGUUCCAUAAGCUUUUUCAGCCUUGCAAACAAAGACGAUCUGUUGGCUGGAAACCGGUUGCCUAAGUCCCUUUCUGUGCUGCUAGGCUGAUUGCCUGUCUCAGGUGAACUACUGCUACUACUACUGUCUCUCACAGUAGAUACCUGUUCAUUGGCACUUUCCUGCAGCUGUGGAACUCUACAUGGAGUCUCAUCUCCA
Molecule: long non-coding RNA, 938 nt
Organism: Hemicordylus capensis (graceful crag lizard)
Lineage: Eukaryota; Metazoa; Chordata; Lepidosauria; Squamata; Cordylidae
Exons: 4
Source: RefSeq, a predicted model, not a curated record